AAGUGCUACAGCUCUUUGGAUUUGUCUAGCAGCUUUCUGGGUUUUGCUGGAAAGCCCUU
Molecule: small nuclear RNA, 59 nt
Organism: Nomascus leucogenys (northern white-cheeked gibbon)
Lineage: Eukaryota; Metazoa; Chordata; Mammalia; Primates; Hylobatidae
Gene: U7
Rfam family: U7 small nuclear RNA
About the family: Animal histone pre-mRNAs are spliced by a different mechanism than nuclear pre-mRNAs and self-splicing introns. This processing involves the U7 snRNP, which contains only one RNA species: U7.
Source: Ensembl